AUUGAACGCUGGCGGCAUGCUUUACACAUGCAAGUCGAACGGUAACAGGCCUUCGGGUGCUGACGAGUGGCGAACGGGUGAGUAAUGCAUCGGAACGUACCCAGAGGUGGGGGAUAACGCAGCGAAAGCUGUGCUAAUACCGCAUGUGAUCUGAGGAUGAAAGCGGGGGACCGAGCAGCAAUGUUUGGCCUCGCGCCUUUGGAGCGGCCGAUGUCGGAUUAGCUAGUUGGUGGGGUAAAGGCCUACCAAGGCGACGAUCCGUAGCUGGUCUGAGAGGACGACCAGCCACACUGGGACUGAGACACGGCCCAGACUCCUACGGGAGGCAGCAGUGGGAAAUUUUGGACAAUGGGCGCAAGCCUGAUCCAGCAAUGCCGCGUGCGGGAAGAAGGCCUUCGGGUUGUAAACCGCUUUUGGCAGGAACGAAACGGUGUCCGCUAAUACCGGGCGCUAAUGACGGUACCUGCAGAAUAAGCACCGGCUAACUACGUG
Molecule: ribosomal RNA, 492 nt
Filed under: uncultured bacterium
Lineage: Bacteria
Description: partial 16S ribosomal RNA
Rfam family: Bacterial small subunit ribosomal RNA
Source: RNAcentral